Molecule: long non-coding RNA, 659 nt
Organism: Hibiscus syriacus
Lineage: Eukaryota; Viridiplantae; Streptophyta; Magnoliopsida; Malvales; Malvaceae
Exons: 2
Source: RefSeq, a predicted model, not a curated record
AAAUGUCAUUCUAAUUCGUUUUCUCUUGUAUGCUUUUGCUGAGUAUAUUGUUUAUAAUUUAACAAUUACAAUCUUCCAGGUGACUGAUAAGAUGAUGUUCAAUGCUUCUAACAUCUUCCCUCACAACACGCCGACUACAAAAGAAGCGUAUUACUACUGGAUGAUUUUCGAGAGGUUCUUCCCUCAGAACUCUGCUAAAUUGACCGUCCCCGGAGGAGCUAGUGUGGCAUGCAGCACUGCUAAAGCUGUUGAGUGAGAUGCUGCUUGGAAAAACAACCUCGACCCCUCAGGCCGGGCUGCUUUGGGCGUUCAUCUCUCUCCUUAAGAUGCCGAAACUCCUCUCAGCAACAAGCCAUCCAAGGUUAUAGAUAGUACGAUGGAAAUUCCUGGUGUUGCCAUGCAAAGCUAGUGCCUACUUAAAGGAAUCAAAUCGUGUCGACUUAUAAUAAGGGAGUAGAAUCUGUGUGGCAUGUCCAUCGAACUUCGGAAUGCGUUGCUGUAUAAUAUAGGCGAUGUAUACCGGUACUAAAAGAUUCCGAAAUCGUCCGAUCAUCUUUGUUAUCAUCAAGGCUAUUGUUUCCUAUGUUUUCUACGUGUGUAAUCGAUAUUCUGUGGUGGAAGUUAAUCAUGUAUGAGAGUCUUCCCUUUUGUUGGUGUAA